CCUACGGGAGGCAGCAGUGAGGAAUCUUCCACAAUGGGGGAAACCCUGAUGGAGCAACGCCGCGUGCAGGAUGAAGGCCUUCGGGUUGUAAACUGCUUUUAUAAGUGAAGAAUAUGACGGUAACUUAUGAAUAAGCACCGGCUAACUACGUGCCAGCAGCCGCGGUAAU
This 169-nucleotide ribosomal RNA is filed under the name uncultured bacterium. Its description in RNAcentral is "partial 16S ribosomal RNA". It matches the Rfam family "Bacterial small subunit ribosomal RNA", at positions 338 to 524 of the family's 1533-position model. The record is from RNAcentral.